This 490-nucleotide ribosomal RNA is filed under the name uncultured bacterium. RNAcentral's name for it is "partial 16S ribosomal RNA". It matches the Rfam family "Bacterial small subunit ribosomal RNA", at positions 30 to 507 of the family's 1533-position model. The record is from RNAcentral.
AUUGAACGCUGGCGGCAGGCCUAACACAUGCAAGUCGAACGGUAACAGGAAGAAGCUUGCUUCUUUGCUGACGAGUGGCGGACGGGUGAGUAAUGUCUGGGAAACUGCCUGAUGGAGGGGGAUAACUACUGGAAACGGUAGCUAAUACCGCAUAACGUCGCAAGACCAAAGAGGGGGACCUUCGGGCCUCUUGCCAUCGGAUGUGCCCAGAUGGGAUUAGCUAGUAGGUGGGGUAACGGCUCACCUAGGCGACGAUCCCUAGCUGGUCUGAGAGGAUGACCAGCCACACUAGAACUGAGACGCGGUCCAGACUCCUACGGGAGGCAGCAGUGGGGAAUAUUGCAGAAUGGGCGCAAGCCUGAUGCAGCCAUGCCGCGUGUAUGAAGAAGGCCUUCGGGUUGUAAAGUACUUUCAGCGGGGAGGAAGGGAGUAAAGUUAAUACCUGUACUCAUUGACGUUACCCGCAGAAGAAGCACCGGCUAACUCCGUG